Molecule: ribosomal RNA, 274 nt
Filed under: uncultured bacterium
Lineage: Bacteria
Description: partial 16S ribosomal RNA
Rfam family: Bacterial small subunit ribosomal RNA
Source: RNAcentral
AUACGUAGGUCCCAAGCGUUGCGCGAUCUCACUGGGCGUAAAGCGUCCCCAGCCGGUCCGGUAAGCGGAUUGUCAAAACCCGCGGCUCAACCGCGGUAGGGCAACCCGAACUGCCGGACUUGAGGCAAGCCCAGGCAGGCGGAAUUCCCGGUGUAGCGGUGAAAUGCGUAGAUAACGGGAGGAACACCAAAGGGGAAGCCAGCCUGCUGGGGCUGCCCUGACGGUCACGGACGAAAGCUGGGGGAGCAAACCGGAUUAGAAACCCUAGUAGUCC